RNAcentral lists this ribosomal RNA (226 nucleotides) under uncultured bacterium. RNAcentral describes it as "partial 16S ribosomal RNA". It matches the Rfam family "Bacterial small subunit ribosomal RNA", at positions 538 to 763 of the family's 1533-position model. The record is from RNAcentral.
GCGUUGUUCGGAUUCAUUGGGCGUAAAGGGUGCGUAGGUGGCGUGGUAAGUCGGGUGUGAAAUUUCGGAGCUUAACUCCGAAACUGCAUUCGAUACUGCCGUGCUUGAGGACUGGAGAGGAGACUGGAAUUUACGGUGUAGCAGUGAAAUGCGUAGAGAUCGUAUGGAAGACCAGUGGCGAAGGCGGCUCUCUGGACAGUUACUGACACUGAGGCACGAAGGCGAG